This is a non-coding RNA of Delphinapterus leucas (beluga whale), 6264 nucleotides long. Lineage: Eukaryota; Metazoa; Chordata; Mammalia; Artiodactyla; Monodontidae. The record is from RefSeq and is a predicted model, not a curated record.
AUUGAGGUGGGGCAGCCUGCUCAGUCCUUCGAGGUGGCUGCCGUGGCCCCUGCCUUUGCCACAGCUGUGUCCUCAAGAACCUUGUCCUUGGACUCGGCCGUCAAGAUGUAAAUGAAAUUUGGCAGGAGCUGAGAUGGAAGAGUCCGGCUUGUGGUGGGCACGGCAUCCCACGUGCCUGCAGGAGCAGACAGAGUGGCCUUUGAGUGCAGAGUCACUGGCAUUUGCCGGCCACGUGGGGCCUGGGCCGGGAGCUGAUGGUGGCAGCUCCUGGUGAGGGAUUCAGGGCUGUGAGUCACAGGGCAGGAGCUCCUGCAGAAGCUGGCCUGAGAGUUGGCACUGGGCUUCAUUCUGUGCCCUUCUGGAAAAUGCAUUGAGAGAGGAGGCUCCCUGGGGCCCUUGCGGCUGAACCCUCCCCUGUCCAACGCCCGAGGAAACUCAGGAAAGAUGCUGGGCUCGUACCUGUCAGAAUGUCGGUGAGACAGCAGUACAAUUAUCCCCUGGGCUCUGCUGCGGGAACGGGCUGGGAGCAACUCAGAAUGCCCCAGAUGAGUCAGGAAGUGGAGUGUGGGAGUGUGUGUGUGACAGACAGAGUCACACAGACAGACAGGGCACGUAACCAUGGAUGAUUAAUUCAGCCCUUUUCUAGUUGGUGGGGGGGGACCCACUGCCUUGGAGAGUGGGUUCUGCCCCAGGGUGACACGUUCCUCCAAUGACUCUGUCGCCCCAGGGCUCCAGCAGGGCAGCUUGCUGGGCGCUGAGCCUUGCUGGCGUUUGUGUGGUGCCCCUCCUCCGGCUCCUGUGUCCCAGGAGGCUGGCAGGUGAGUGUGUGCACAGGGCCUACGCCUCCUGCAUCUUUGAGCAGUUGUGGACAUUGUCCUGGGAGCACAGGUGUGGGAUCGUUUUCUUCUGUGUGUCUCGUCAUGUGUCUCCCGCCUCCACCGAAGGACUGAUGUGGCAGAGGGCUGCCGAGGCAUCCUGAGAAAACCCCGCGGCUGUUCUAAGCCCUGCCACUCACCUGCCCCAGGACACCUGUCACACUUGCCCUGGGUGGUACAAAGGCAUUGCCGCCCACUGGCCAGUCUGAAAGUUCUGUGCUUUCAUUUGUUUGCCCAAGGCAAUGGGCAGCUAUGAUCCCAUCUCCAGGAGUGUCCAGUUGUGAACUGCCCUCUGGGAUGAGUGCUGUGACUUCUGUUUAGCCUCAAAAUAGAGAUUUUCCUGUCUCUGGUAUUAAUCAACUUCUGCAUGGAUGGGAGACCAUGCUUCAGAGAACCCAGCCUCCUCCAGCCCAGCCUUGCUUUUGGAAUGGCACUCAGCUGCCCUUCUGGGUCGGUUAUGAAAGACUCCUUCCCCACGGCACUGUCUGGCAUUGCCGGUUGGGGGCUGAUUCAUUCUGGCAGAUUCUAAAAAAUAACUGGGUGUGUUGGUGGUUGUGUACACUAUGGCGCUUCUCUUCGAGACUGAUUUACAGCAUUAAAGGGGGAUUGAUCCAUCCCCCAGCCCCACCCUGCCUAGGGAGAGAGACCGGAAAUAACUUAAUGAGACAAAUCCAGCUUGCGUAAUGGAAGGCUCUGGAGUGCGAACCCUCUUUACUGCCGUUCUGCCUUUAAAACCAGGCCGGAGGUAGUGUUUGCAAACAUGAGGUGGGAUUUCUUUUUCGAGCCGUAACCUGCCUUGGAAUCUCAUGGGCCUAUUUGCGGGUGUCGGGGAAGUUGAUGCUGCCCAGAUGGGCUGUUAGAAUUUUCCACACAGGCUCAUACUCACCACAUCUCCGCACAUGCCCAGCUCUGGGUCUCUCCCUCUCUCUCUCCUUUCUCUCUCUUUGUCUUUCCAUUGUUCUUCCUUAACACUUAGCGUUGGGACUCAGUCCACCGGCAGUUGGUGGGGGGAGUGCGAGCCCACAGCAGUGACCAUCCCUGCCCUGGGAACAGCCGUCCUCUUGACUGGGAGGCGGCCACAGACUCUUCCCUGGCUUGGCACUCGCCGGGUCUGAAGCCGCUCAGUUAAUUUUGCAGUAACGUCGGCGGACUCCUGCAGCAUGCGUAAACCUAUCAAGUGUUUUAUUCAAGGACUAAGGAGGCCGUUGAAUGUCUCACAACCCUCACACUCUGUAUAGUCACGUGUUAGUGGCCUGUUGCAUACAUAUGCUCUGUGUGUUAUCUGGGUCUGUCUUCAGAAUAGCUUAUUCCUCGUUCGUCCGGCGGCUGGUGUGAUGUGUGUUCCCUUGUGUUCCCUUGGGAAGAGCCCACCGCCUCCCGGGAUUCUGGUGUAAUUCAUUUGACUCCAGAAUGGUCAAAGGAGGGGAGACCCUGCCACUGGGCCUCAGGGGUGCUGAGUAAAUCCAGUGGCUGUGAAAGGAGUAACAGUAAAUUGACAAACUGAUUGAAGGAGAUGGAAAACACACGCACACACGCUUGCAUAAAGUCUACUCACGCAUAGGCACGCACUCCCGACUGUGUCAAGCUGUUAGGGGCUCUUUUCAGUUGGUUAACUGCACAUAGUAAGGUAUAAUUCAGUGAGUAAUUUAGUGAGUACGUGUUAAGUGUUGGAUACGGGCCCGGCCCUUGACUUAUGUUAUCUCACUCAAUUCUUCUCUGGGAUGCUGGUGGGUGUACUGCCCAUUUUGUAGAUUGCUACAUGGAGUCUUGGUGGGACUGCACCUUUGACUCAAGGUCGCAGCCUUAUGAAAGCUCACAGACUUCUCCUCUAGGCUUGUCUGAUAAUAGAACCCAAACCCUGGGCCCGUUCCAGCUGCUGAUCAACCCCCAAGAUAGACUUAGGGUGGGGAGGGUGCAAAAGAGAAGGAAAAAUGGUGUCCCCUCUGGGUGCCCAGGGACAGUGCCAGGAACCUGGGCCUACAUGGCCUCAUUGCUUCUGCACAGCGGAUUUUGGUGUCAUCCAGCCCAUUUGACAAAGGUGGACGAUACAGGUCAGGGAGGUGAAGUCUCAGCAAAGGUCACCCAGGUAAGGCAGUAUAACAGCCAGAAUUCACACCCUACCUCCUCCAAGUCUAGAACUGUCCAUCUUUCCACAGGCUCCAUCAGAGUUUGCCACCUUCUUUUUAGGUUUCCCUCGUUGUCAUGCUUCUUUCCUCUUCCUCUUCCCGUCUUGCCUGAGGUGGCAGCUGUCCCGGCUGUUUAUUUCAGGUGGCAAUCAAGAUGGGUAAGAUCGAUGUCUUGGGGCUCUGAGCUAAGGGAGUCUAAACAUGUCAUUACUGUAAGAGGAGUGGGUGCAGGAUGGCACAUUGAGAGCUUGAAAUGACUCAAGUUGGAGGCUUGUAAACCCUUUUUUGCUUUUCUCCCACCUUCCUCCCAGAAGAUUUACCCCCCCUCCCCCUGAUCCCCGGGUUAGGGAUGUCAUUACUUGUUUAUAUUUAAGAUGAGAUCAUGAAGUGCGGCCAUCGGCGUAAGGACUCUGCUGACUUGGGUGCCGUCCUCACCCCUGGGUAGCUGUUCUGUUGCCCUCGUUGGAGGAAGGUUUCCUAGUGGACGUUAUCUGUGCUGACGAUUUCAUGCCUACAGGAAUGAUGUAUACAGACCGUUCCGAAAAAUGGCACGUAAACAGGGCUCUAGAUGCGCACAUACAGACCGAGGCCGUCCAUCGGGCUGUCCUGCUCCGUUCCCCCUGCACGGCCAUCCGGACGAGCCCAGCGUGGUAAUUAAAAAGCCCUGGGAUCAAAGCAACUCCAAGUGCCAGGGCUUCCUCCCUUCUCCCUGUAGGCCCCUCCUUCUUAAAUUCUCACUUAUAGGAUUUGCGAGAUCAAAAAGAGGCCUUUAAAUUAAUGAAUUCUCGGCUUCGUCCCGGAUGGAGCAGUUCUGCACCUUUCAGCUGUUCACCUCGAUGAGAGGGCUGCUCGGUGCCGAGCUCGCUAGGUAAUUCUCACUUUAUAUAACUCCUGUGAAAGCAGAGCGGGCCGCAUCUGGAGGCUCCCAAUUAUACUUCACAUGGUGAACUGUGUAAUUAGUUUGGAAGACUUACGCUUAGUCAUUGGUUUACCCUAAUCGGCUUUGGCUUUCCCCACCAACAAAGUGAGCUUAUUUUGCUAAGCUGAACCGACUCUGCACCCUUUGUUCCAGCCUUUUAUUGUCUCAUUCCUUUCAUUCUGUUUUACUGCCAAAGUUCUGUUUCAUUAGGCCUACAAGUCAUUUCCAAUUCAGUGGGCUGCUACAAUCCGGCCUUUAUCACUCGGCUGCCCUGGUUCCCAUGUCCCUUCUGGGCCAGUGCCCGAGUUUGCGGUUUGACGUGAGGGCUUUAACCCUUUCCUGGGCCAGCCCCUCACUGUGGUGGACGGGAAGCCAAGGCCCUAAAGGAGGAGGUGGUGGUUUGGAAAGUUCCAGCUCUUUAGGGGAGCCCCGUGGAAAUGGGGCGAAAAGGGGCCUUCGAGUCCUUUUGUUGGGUUGGGGUUGUGUGUGGGCUAUAAAAGUUAACUUGAGCUACAGAGAAUGGUGCUUGAAAGCUUUUGGGGGAAAAAAAUGGAAAACAAGAAUGAAUUGGCUUUUUAAUAUAAUGAGAUCUCAUUGAUUGCACUUGGGAGAGGGCCCACUGAGGGAGUGUUGGCUGCCUGUUACGUUUUAGCUCCAGGCUUUAUGUGCAGGUACGAUGCUGGCACCCCCGGCCACCGCUCAGAUGCCCCUUUUGAUGCUGUAUGUGUGAGGAGAGAAACAUCUAGAAUAAAAAUAUCAUAAAGCCUUUGAAAUGUGAAAGGCAGGAGAUUUGUGAGAAAAUGAAUAAGCAAGUUAACCGUAUUCCUGAGAGUGGACUCUGAUUUUAUUGCUUCCUAAUGCAAAUUGCAGAUAAACAGAGCUCCAUGAGGUGUGCGGUUCUUUCCGACCAGGCCUGGAGUACAAAAGUCCUGCCUGUCCUUCGUGGGCCUCACAGCUCCCACGAGGCCUGCAUCUUCUGAAGUGGUUUGUAUAGGCGGACUCACUGGAAAGCGGUCGGUGUGCCCGGGCCUCGCCUGUCACCUGCUGGCCUUUGCUCUGGAGGGCCGUGACGUUCCUCAGACCUUGACUGAGAACUCUAGAGUGGACCAGGAAGGACCAUUGGCUCUCCCCUCCCUGGCCGGUCACGCUGAAGGCUACCUGCAGGUUUAAACUUUCUUCCUGUAAAAUAGCCCAGAACAAGGCCAACACUGUCCUGGUGUUUGAUUAAAUCUGCCUGGUUUGUGUCAGUCUCUCCCUUUGGAAGCUUUCAUACGGGGGAGGGGACUUGAUUUGCCCUGUGACCCCUGGCAGAGCUGCUGAGGGCAAAAAGUCUCAGCAAACAGGAGACUCCUGCCUCAUCUGCCUGCCUCGGCCUCCUGGGCCAGGUGGUGGCAAACAAGCGAGCAGGACCCACAAGUAAUAUGAGCCUUGGGCUUUGCAGGUAAACCCUCUUGCCAGAGGACUUUGUGUCUUCCUGAUGAACUUUUCCCUCCGUCUCUGCUGCAGCCGGUGGGGAGAGCUGCGUUCGAAACAGAUUGAACACCUCAACCUCACUUCUCCUAAAUCCUCUAUUUUUAUUCUGCUUCAAAAAGGAGUUCCUGAAAUAGACGAGUGGGUUUCUAGGAAAACUGCCCAUUUCCCUUUUAGUGUAUAAAAUAUAGCCAGCUGUUGUUAGGCAAAUGCAUCAGACAUUAUUAUUGCUCUGUUAACAGUGUUUUAAAAUAUACAAACAGAAGAAUAGGAUGCCUUCUGGGUAGCAAGCUGGGAAAAGUUUGAGAUUAUGCUAAUCACACAUGCGUAUGCAUAGCAAGGUUAGGGGAACAAGGCUCGAACUUUCUGGCUCUGCUGUUUAACUGUGUUUCCCAGUAUGGUUUAGCUUUAUUUAAUUUUUGUAGGGGGCCAUGAGGAGAAAGACCCGGGACAGGAGAGCCCUUGGGCAGGAAGGAGUUAAUGAGCCUGGGGAGGCAGAGGGAGAAGGGGUUUAAGGGCUCCACCAGCUUACCUUCCCAGAGCCCUCCUGGCAGGCUCUGAGGACGUCACUUACAAUGGAGUUGUUAGCAUGAGAAAGAAAGCCUUUCUACCCCUGGAUGUACUUCAGUGGGAACUGAAAGUGUCUGAGAAAUCACGGUUCAGGCUUGUGCCAGUGGGUGCAAGGAGUGGUUCUUAUGGAGGAGAAAGCUCAGUUCAUUUAGACUUGGCAUAGAAAUCGGAUUCCAUUGUUUUGUGGCGUGAACAUUGAUAUGGAGAUUCCUGCCCAUCCCCCCAGCCCAUCAAUAGGAUACCCCAUUACAUGGGUCGCAUAUGCUUUUCUUUUUUCUUUCUUUCUCUUCUUUUUUUUUUUUUU